Molecule: ribosomal RNA, 404 nt
Filed under: uncultured bacterium
Lineage: Bacteria
Description: bacterial SSU rRNA
Rfam family: Bacterial small subunit ribosomal RNA
Source: RNAcentral
AACGAACGCUGGCGGCGCGCCUAAUACAUGCAAGUCGAGCGAGAAGACGUAGCAAUACGUUUGUAAAGCGGCGAACGGGUGAGGAAUACAUGGGUAACCUACCCUCGAGUGGGGAAUAACUAGCCGAAAGGUUAGCUAAUACCGCGUACGCUCCUUGGACUUCGGUUCAGGGAGGAAAGCGAUACCGUGGGUAUCGCGCUCUUGGAUGGGCUCAUGUCCUAUCAGCUUGUUGGGAGGUAACGGCUCACCAAGGCUUCGACGGGUAGCUGGUCUGAGAGGACGAUCAGCCACACUGGCACUGCGACACGGGCCAGACUCCUACGGGAGGCAGCAGUAAGGAAUAUUGCGCAAUGGGCGAAAGCCUGACGCAGCGACGCCGCGUGGGGGAUGAAGGUCUUCGGAUU